AUGUUCAUUAGUCUCUCCAUGGAUCAGAAUGGAUUACCUAUCCUGCCCCAUGCAGUCCAUGAUCAGCUGUCCUCAGACCAGGUGAUUGGUACUGAACUACUUCUAGAAGGUAAUGAGAAUUUGCUAUCAUGUGACUUAUGCAGUAUUUCUCUGAUCCAAUCUAAUACUUUCUACCAUUUUAUUACCAAGUUUAUUGCCAAAGGGAUGUCAAUGGAAAUGGCUACUGUCACUUCCGGGCUGACAUACUGAAUUCCUGAGGCAGGCUCUUCCACGCUCUCAUUUCCUGCAGAAUGAACCAGGGAGCAUUGUGUUGAGAGGUAGGUGCCAUGAGAUUGAAGCAGCCUGGGAUUCUG
Molecule: long non-coding RNA, 353 nt
Filed under: Mustela putorius furo (domestic ferret)
Lineage: Eukaryota; Metazoa; Chordata; Mammalia; Carnivora; Mustelidae
Description: lncRNA (ENSMPUG00000025730.1)
Source: RNAcentral